RNAcentral lists this ribosomal RNA (253 nucleotides) under uncultured bacterium. Its description in RNAcentral is "partial 16S ribosomal RNA". It matches the Rfam family "Bacterial small subunit ribosomal RNA", at positions 524 to 776 of the family's 1533-position model. The record is from RNAcentral.
UACGUAGGUGGCAAGCGUUGUCCGGAUUUACUGGGCGUAAAGAGCGCGCAGGCGGUCAUUCAAGUCGAGUGUGAAAGCCCCGGGCUCAACCUGGGAACCGCGCUUGAGACUGGCAUGCUCGAGUUCGGGAGAGGAUGGUGGAAUUCCCAGUGUAGAGGUGAAAUUCGUAGAUAUUGGGAAGAACACCGAUGGCGAAGGCAGCCAUCUGGACCGACACUGACGCUGAGGCGCGAAAGCGUGGGGAGCAAACAGG